This 466-nucleotide ribosomal RNA is filed under the name uncultured Glomus. Its description in RNAcentral is "SSU rRNA". It matches the Rfam family "Eukaryotic small subunit ribosomal RNA", at positions 569 to 1041 of the family's 1831-position model. The record is from RNAcentral. Lineage: Eukaryota; Fungi; Glomeromycota; Glomeromycetes; Glomerales; Glomeraceae.
AGCAGCCGCGGUAAUUCCAGCUCCAAUAGCGUAUAUUAAAGUUGCUGCAGUUAAAAAGCUCGUAGUUGAAUUUCGGGACCAAUAUGUCGGUCGUGCCUCGGUACGUACUGGCAUCGUUGGUUUCUCCUUUCUGAAGAACCAUGAUGUCAUUUAUUUGGUGUCGUGGGGAAUCAGGACUGUUACUUUGAAAAAUUAGAGUGUUUAAAGCAGGCUCACGCUUGAAUACAUUAGCAUGGAAUAAUGAAAUAGGACGUUUGAUUCUAUUUUGUUGGUUUCUAGGAUCGACGUAAUGAUUAAUAGGGAUAGUUGGGGGCAUUAGUAUUCAAUUGUCAGAGGUGAAAUUCUUGGAUUUAUUGAAGACUAACUACUGCGAAAGCAUUUGCCAAGGAUGUUUUCAUUAAUCAAGAACGAAAGUUAGGGGAUCGAAGACGAUCAGAUACCGUCGUAGUCUUAACCAUAAACUAUG